ACAUCCAGAGAAUUUAGCAGAGAUGCUUUAGUGCCUUCGGGAACUCUGAGACAGGUGCUGCAUGGCUGUCGUCAGCUCGUGUUGUGAAAUGGUUGGGUUAAGUCCCGCAACGAGCGCAACCCUUAUCCUUUGUUGCCAGCACGUAAUGGUGGGAACUCAAAGGAGACUGCCGGUGAUAAACCGGAGGAAGGUGGGGAUGACGUCAAGUCAUCAUGGCCCUUACGAGUAGGGCUACACACGUGCUACAAUGGCGCAUACAAAGAGAAGCGACCUCGCGAGAGCAAGCGGACCUCAUAAAGUGCGUCGUAGUCCGGAUUGGAGUCUGCAACUCGACUCCAUGAAGUCGGAAUCGCUAGUAAUCGUAAAUCAGAAUGUUACGGUGAAUACGUUCCCGGGCCUUGUACACACCGCCCGUCACACCAUGGGAGUGGGUUGCAAAAGAAGUAGAUAGCUUAACCUUCGGGAGGGCGUUUACCACUUUGUGAUUCAUGACUGGGGUGAAGUCGUAACAAGGUAGGCGUAGUGCU
RNAcentral lists this ribosomal RNA (527 nucleotides) under uncultured bacterium. RNAcentral's name for it is "bacterial SSU rRNA". It matches the Rfam family "Bacterial small subunit ribosomal RNA", at positions 984 to 1509 of the family's 1533-position model. The record is from RNAcentral.